RNAcentral lists this transfer RNA (73 nucleotides) under Bos taurus (domestic cattle). It matches the Rfam family "tRNA". From Rfam's summary of the family: Transfer RNA (tRNA) molecules are approximately 80 nucleotides in length. Lineage: Eukaryota; Metazoa; Chordata; Mammalia; Artiodactyla; Bovidae. The record is from Rfam by way of RNAcentral. RNAcentral also lists the same sequence under 2 other names.
UCCCCGAUAGUCCAGUGGUUAGGACUCUGUGCUUUCACUGCCCAGAGCCUGGGUUCAAUUCCUGGUCGGGAAA